This 295-nucleotide ribosomal RNA is filed under the name uncultured Gigaspora. Its description in RNAcentral is "partial 18S ribosomal RNA". It matches the Rfam family "Eukaryotic small subunit ribosomal RNA", at positions 548 to 848 of the family's 1831-position model. Lineage: Eukaryota; Fungi; Glomeromycota; Glomeromycetes; Diversisporales; Gigasporaceae. The record is from RNAcentral.
UUGGAGGGCAAGUCUGGUGCCAGCAGCCGCGGUAAUUCCAGCUCCAAUAGCGUAUAUUAAAGUUGUUGUGGUUAAAAAAGCUCGUAGUUGAAUUUCGGGGUUCUACCGUUGGUCGGGCAAUAGUCUGUACUGGCGUGUGGAAUUUCUACCUUCUGGGGAACCAUCAUGUUAUUUAUUUAGCGUGGUGGGAAACCAGGACCUUUACCUUGAAAAAAUUAGAGUGUUCAAAGCAGGCUUACGUCUGAAUACAUUAGCAUGGAGUAAUAAAAUAGGACGGUGGUCCUGUUUUGUUUGG